RNAcentral lists this transfer RNA (64 nucleotides) under Pheretima confusa. RNAcentral describes it as "tRNA-Val". Lineage: Eukaryota; Metazoa; Annelida; Clitellata; Crassiclitellata; Megascolecidae. The record is from RNAcentral.
CGAAGUAUAGCAUAUGAAAUGCUUUUUACUUACACUAAAAAUAAAGUUAGAUAACUUGCUUCGC